Molecule: ribosomal RNA, 403 nt
Filed under: uncultured prokaryote
Description: bacterial SSU rRNA
Rfam family: Bacterial small subunit ribosomal RNA
Source: RNAcentral
UAGGGAAUUUUGCGCAAUGGACGAAAGUCUGACGCAGCAACACCGCGUGAGUGAUGAAGCAUCUUGGUGUGUAAAACUCUGUCAGAGGGGACGAAUUUUGACGGUACCCUCAAAGGAAGCAUCGGCUAACUACGUGCCAGCAGCCGCGGUAAGACGUAGGAUGCGAGCGUUGUCCGGAAUUAUUGGGCGUAAAGAGUUCGUAGGCGGUAUGCAAAGUCUGGUGUUAAAGCCCGGAGCUCAACUCCGGUUCGGCAUUGGAUACUUGCAAACUAGAAUGCAGAAGAGGCAAAGGGAAUUCCUAGUGUAGCGGUGAAAUGCGUAGAUAUGAGGAGGAACACCGGUGGCGUAAGCGCUUUGCUGGUCUGUUAUUGACGCUGAGGAACGAAAGCCGGGGGAGCAAAUG